UCUCUCUCUCUCUCUCUCUCUCUCUCUCUCUCUCUCUCUCUAAAAGAUUGUGCCCCGCGGGUUCGAUAAGGGCGAAAGACGACACCGGCCCCGAAAGGCCGAAGAAGAAAAGAAGCUUCGCUUGAUCGCUGCGGCCGACGUAUCCCUCUCUCCAUUUCGGCCCACGCCUCCUUCCGAUCAGCCCUUCGACAGUAGAAACCCUACGUCCUCGCCGACCUUGCGACGCCC
This 228-nucleotide long non-coding RNA is filed under the name Spirodela polyrhiza (greater duckweed). Its description in RNAcentral is "long non-coding RNA (SPOL_LNC000087)". Lineage: Eukaryota; Viridiplantae; Streptophyta; Magnoliopsida; Alismatales; Araceae. The record is from RNAcentral.